This 519-nucleotide ribosomal RNA is filed under the name uncultured eukaryote. RNAcentral describes it as "SSU rRNA". It matches the Rfam family "Eukaryotic small subunit ribosomal RNA", at positions 1161 to 1703 of the family's 1831-position model. The record is from RNAcentral.
AGGGCACCACCAGGAGUGGAGCCUGCGGCUUAAUUUGACUCAACACGGGGAAACUCACCCGGCCCGGACACCGUAAGGAUUGACAGAUUGAUAGCUUUUUCAUGAUUCGGUGGAUGGUGGUGCAUGGCCGUUCUUAGUUCGUGGAGCGAUUUGUCUGGUUUAUUCCGAUAACGAGCGAGACUCUGGCCUACUAAAUAGUUGCCGCAUUGACACUGUGCGCACAACACUUCUUAGAGGGAUUUUCGGUGUUCAGCCGCAAGAAAUUGAGCAAUAACAGGUCUGUGAUGCCCUUAGAUGUCCGGGGCUGCACGCGCGCUACACUGGCAAAAUCAGCGUGCUUGUCCUUCCCCGAAAGGGGUUGGUAAACCCGUGAAAAUUUGCCGUGAUUGGGAUCGGACAUUGCAAUUAUUUUCCAUGAACGAGGAAUUCCAAGUAAGUGCGAGUCAUCAGCUCGCGUUGAUUACGUCCCUGCCCUUUGUACACACCGCCCGUCGCUGCCCGGGACUGAGCCAUUUCGAG